Molecule: long non-coding RNA, 6424 nt
Filed under: Sus scrofa (pig)
Lineage: Eukaryota; Metazoa; Chordata; Mammalia; Artiodactyla; Suidae
Description: lncRNA (ENSSSCG00000060505.1)
Source: RNAcentral
GAGUUCUUCAAGCAGUCAAAAUAGCAAAAGUUUAUUUAGCAAAAUCUGCCUGCACGCCUGCAUCUUGGUAAAACCACAGUAAGAAAUAAAAUCAAUGAUUAAUUCAGAUCUAUAUCCAGUAAGAGCAUGAGUCGCAGUCAUGAGCCCUCCCGGCCCCAAACCCCCAACAGCGUAGACUUCCGCGUGAGAGAGACGUAAAUUUCUGCUUUGCUUUAAGUAAUACCGUCAUUUUUAUUUUGUUAAAGGAGCCCUAAGCCCCCAAAGACCACCUUCAAAAGGACCUUAGUGUGUGUGUGGUGACAUGUGGACCUGGAGUGGGUGUCACACGUGCCACGUUCAAAGCAGAGUGUCGUUAGAGCACAGUGCUCAGACGCCGUCGGGAGCACGCACCUGAACGGGGCCCUCAGAGCCGAGCGCUGCCCGGUUCCUGCAGCGCUGCCCUGAGCAGCGGGGCGGGGCUUAGCUGUCCUCAUAGGUGGGUGUGGAGCACGUGGACCACAGAUCCAAAGCACGCCGAGCGAGGCCCGUCCAGAAUGGGCGGACACCGAGUGAUGUAAAAGAGAGAAAGCAGGGAAACUGGAGCAACGCGAGCAGAAGAAAGAAGAUAAGCAACAAGGGCAGCCUUCGUGAGAACCGAUGCCUGGCACGCUUCUACAAGUUCCCUGCUCUUUUCAGAUUUAAUCUCCACAAAAAUUCCCUGAGUCUAAGCGGUACUGCCCUCAUUGUUCAGAAGAGGACGUCAGGACGCAGAGAGGGCGUGGUCCCCUCAGAGCUCAGCCAGGACCUGAGCGGGUCCCCAGGUUGCGCUGCGCCUGAAGGCACGGACGCGUGUCCCCCAGCCCGUCACGGAGCCAGCAGGACACCCAGCCAAACCUCAGCUUCCCUGAGGCGUUCAAGGGCGAGGUGGUUUGUUCAGGGCAGAGGGUGGCUGUGACCUACAGAGACAGGUCUAGGAGUUGAGAGGAGGGAUAUUAUGCUUGAACAUGUGGUGCAUGAUACGUAAUUAUUUCUAUAAACUUAGUCUUGUUUUUAAACGCGGAGACGCACGGGGCGUAGAAACAAGGAGAUGAAGGGCUUCGGGCGACCUCGAAUAAAUUCUUUCAGUUCUUCGCAGCUCGACUUCCUCCAUUUCCCCCCGAAGGGCUGGUCCUGCGGGCGGCUCCAGGCACAGGCAGCCCUAACUCGCUGCGGGGCGGGGUCCCUGGGGAGCCUGGGGAGGGAGCACACAGGGAGCCUGAGGGAGGGGCUCGCUCCCGCUGGGACCAGUCCUGUGUCCACUUCCCUGCCCUCAGCCAGUCUGCUCCCAGGGGAAGGUGGCGAAGGCAAGGGCAGAGGCGAUUGAAGUGCUCAGGCCUCAUUCCUCGUGUUUAUCCAGCUACCUCCACCUCCAGACUCCCAACGCCCCUCUCACUUGUGUGCACUGCAGAAUUGUUCUUGUUAGAGUGUCUCAGAACAUUUUUCCACGGUGUCUUCCUUCCCCAGGCAAUGCUUGGGCUUCAGGCAUUUUCAAAUCUAUUCCCCAAGCAUCUGAAUUUCACUUUCACCACUUCCCAGCUGCUGGCUCACUAACUAGUCAGGUGCAGAAACUAAUCAGGGCUGGGCAUAAUAGCUUAAUCCCUUCUCAUGCAAUAGGGACCUUUCUGAGAAUUUGUCCCAAGAGUCUCGUGGGUCCUGGUUAGGGGAGCUUGUGGAGUUUGCAUAAGAAAGUUAUAUUUAAGGCCAGGUCUGGAUGAAAAACUUAAAUUUGCAUACUGUAGAGUUUUCUUCAGUUCAAUUCAGUGUUGCAAGUAUUAAUUAAAUGUGACUGUGGCAGCUGUUGAGGUUUUUCACUCUCACAUAAGCUCCGGUUUAGCUGUCGGGAUAAUUCAAACAAAUGCAGGAUUCAUUUCUAGAAGGGGUUUCUACACCCAAGUGCUGCCUCUUUCCCAAGUCUGGUAAACUGGGGAGUAUGACCUAGACAGAAACCCAAAGUCUCUGUGACGUAUCUCCAUCUUAACCCCGAAGCAGGUCCCGAGAGAUCAGCUUCUUGCUUCCCAUUCUUCAUGACCCUCCUGCGGCUUUAGAACCACAAGUACGUCCUAAGGGAAAGGGCCUCUGAUGUCUGGUGAUGACAAAGGAUUAGAGCACAGAAGUGGCACUGUUGCUUAUAAUCAGCGUAUAAAUAAAGCUAUGUCUUUCUUUGGAAGUAGGAAAUUGCAAUAUGAUUAAUAUCACACUACAUUUACACAUUUAGUUGCCACUGACCACAAGGUUUGGAAGGUUUCACAGAGAUGACUAUUUUGAGCUGGGUUUUGAAGGAUGAAUAGGAGUUUGCCAGUUUAAGCAGUGGGGAAAUUCCGGACCUUGGAAAGUGCAUGAGCACAAGUCCACAGGUGUGAGCAUGCUUGGAAUGUCCAGAAAACGGCACGGCGUGCUGAGGGGCUGGAUCAUAGGAGUACGGGACCGAGCUCAGAAGUUAGUGGGAAGGUAGGAUGACUGACAGUAAAGCUUAUUAUGUGGCCUGAAGAAAUUGAAUAACUGAGAGUAAAACGGGGGGCAUCUUGAUGUUUUCUGGAAAUGGGGAAGUACUAACGUUACAGGGGAGCCUAGAGUAACUGGAAAAUACAGACUUUAGUCAUGGUUUUGUCUAAAACAAGAUCGUCUGGGGGCAGAUUGCUCAUGAACGAUGUAGGCCCCUGGACCUGGUGACCCCACAUCUCUCUCUGCCUUUCUCUGGUUUUAGGAAUGUCAGGCGGGAGCGAACAUCGUUUUGGAACGGUGCCUGGUGUGGCUCCAGGAUGUGGCGAUGAGAUUGUCACUGAGUUAGCUUUGUUGGCCUCUGCCUGAAGCACCAGUUCCUUUUCUUCUCGAGCUUUCUAGAAGACAUUGGCCAAGUCAGAGUCUCAAUCCAAAAGCUUUGACAGAGGGGUGUGUGUGUGUUGUGUGUGUGGAGAAACCACCAGUAUGUUUUGGAGUCACUCCGAGAGUUGAGUUGAAAGUCCUUCCACAGCCUGGCAGUAAGCGUGGCGUCUGUUCCGGGUUGAACGAAUAGAGAGAAGCUCCAUCGCUGCUGCCGUUGGAGACGGGGCACCGUAGGCGCCGUGACCUGUUUAUGAAGACCACCUGCUGGCCUCUGGGGUUGUAACCAAACCCUCCUGUGAACAUGAGAUGCAGCCCCUGUCGGUUGGGGAGACAGGCAGGCGGGCUGACUUGACAGAAAAUCCCACCUCUGUCCGUAUUAGCUGUGUGUUCAAAAAGUGAAGUUGCUUAACUUUGGAGAACUUCAGGUUCUCAUGAGCUGAUGCCUCUCGGGUUACUGUUAAGAUGAAACAGUGCCCCUCGAGUCCGCGAGAGCGCCCAGCUCACGGCUCACCGUGCGGCCAGCUGCAGAAUGAGCUCCUCUGCGUCCCACGGAGCCCCCAGUACAUCUCGCUCAGCUUCCCUCUCUCGAGGCCAUCGCCCAGUUCCUUAUGCCUUCUGACCUUCUGACCGCGUCUUGUUUCCAGCCUCUCAUUAUGUCUGUGACUGUUUUCAGACCCUGCCUUUGGGUCUCCUUUGGUGACACGUGAGCCCCACCUUUUAGGAGCUGACAGCCACCGCCACUUGCAUUCUCCUUCUCGCCCAUCACGCUCCGUUCACUCCCACUGUCCCCCUCCUCCAGGACAGACACGAAGCAGAGAGACGCUCAGCCGGCACCCUCACCCCUUCCGAGGGAGGGAGAUUGGUCCUCACAGCAGCUGCUCCUGAGACAGGCUCUUGGCAAGGCAUCCGCUGCCCCCAAGAUGCACAGCCUGCCCCCGCCGUCCCCCCCUUUCUGGGGAUGGUGGGAUCAUAAAACCGGGGAUGGGCUCUCCACUGCAAAACCACCCACAGCACGUGUAAUUCAGCGAUGGAUGGAGUGACUCUGCAUAAACUGUCCGAGGGUCCAGAAGUGACAGCACCACCAGUCAUUCAUUAAUGCGGAACUAAUACAAAACCAGUGCGUGGCGGGACCUCCAGCACUGGAUAGUUAUUUCAACUGGAACCGAACCGAAAUACCAAUUUUUGUGCUAAAUGUGACCAGCAACCGCUGAAUAAUGAAGGACUCCGAGAAGAUUUUCCCCAUCACAUAAGAGCAAUCACAUGUUUAAUUAAUAUUUUUAGCAGACAGUCAAAUGCCGAUUGUGUGUCACUGUGCUGUGUAAUGUGCCCAGAUGCUCCUCUUAGGGACUUCAUGCAUGUUAUCCACUAAAGGAGACGGUCUGUGCUGUUUACGGGACAGCCAAGUCUGUGUCGUUGUUUUUAUUUUUAAUUUUUUAGGUUUUGUGUUUGUUUUUGGUUUUUUUUUUUUUUUUUGCUUUUUAGGGUCGCACCCCAGCACGUGGAAGUUCCUAGGCGAGGGUUCGAAUCGGAGCUACAGCUGCCGGCCUACACGACAGCCACUGCAGCACAGGAUCCGAGCCAUGUCUGUGACCUACACCACAGCUCAUGGCAACACCAGGUCCUCAACCCACGUGGUGAGGCCAGGGAUCCACCCGAAUCCUCAAGGAUGCAGGUCGGAUUCAUUUCUAAGGAGCCACAGUGGGAACUCCUGUAUCAUUGUUUUAAAUUUCUUACAAUGUUAUUUACUUUCUACGAAUGUCAAAACGGAGGCAACGUCCAUUUAGGCCUUUGUCUGGAGUAGAUUCAGAUCCUGUGAGUGGAGUUUUGAGGUAAGCCUAUUACUUCUGUGUAGCACCAUAGCCUUCCCAGACUCUGGGUUAGGGCGACCUGGCUUCCCUUCCAGAAAUGUUGUAGGGUUACGACCGCCACGCAAACGUCAUUAAUUCUUAUUCUUUCAAUUUAGCAAAGGGUUUGGGUACUAAGAAAGUGCUUGACCUCUUAUUUUGCCAAUUCCUUGUGCCUUUCCAGAAUGUGUGUAACAUGAAAAUAGUGGUUUAGUGUCUUAAUGGAGGAUGGAACCCAUUAAUGGAACUUUCCGCAACAGACACUAACAUUUGUCACAAAGACGAGCAGAGCACCUACCAACUUGGUUUCUGGGCAAAUUUUGAUUUUUUUUUUUCAAAUUUCAGCCUUUCAAAGGUCAAAUCAAAUUUUUCUUGAAAACUUCAGAUAAGAAAACUGAAUUUGGAAGGUCUUUUGGAGACAGAAUUAUUGCUGUGUCUAAAUCCCACCCCCAAUUUUCAGUUCUCCUUUGUUAUACUAUUAUUAUGAUUUUCUUGAGCUUACUUUGUGAUUUCUAAUGCCAUUCAGUUGGUAAUUGGAUUACAUUUAAGGCAAUGCAUCCCAUAAGUAUUGUAAUGCACAUUCUAAGUGUAAGGAACUGUUUAGGAAGCUAAAACGUCUUAGUUACACAAUGUUAGACACUUGACAUUUUGUAGUCCACUCCUUGGCAUGUCCCUACUCCAAACUACAAAUCAUUUAAAAGAAUUCCUUUGCAUUUCUACCUUCUCUCUACCCUGAAGGUGGCGCCCAAAACUCCAAACAAACAAACAAACAGUUUCUAAAAUAUCUUUGACUAAUGAACAAUGGGGUGACCCUCUGAGCUCUAUGCAGGCAUUGUGGGGUCAACAUGAACCACAGCACCAUUUCUGGGGUCAGUGGUUCUGCUGAUUUUCUCUUGAGCGAAGAGCAUGUGCUCGGGUUUCCUCCCUUAGUGUAGAUGACGAUGGGGAGAUGACGAUGGGGAGAUCAGGAUGGGGGGAUGACGAUGGGGAGAUGACGAUGGGGAGAUCAGGAUGGGGAGAUCAGGAUGGGGGGAUCAGGAUGGGGAGAUGACGAUGGGGAGAUCAUGAUGGGGAGAUGACGAUGGGGAGAUGACGAUGGAGGGAUCAGGAUGGGGGGAUCAGGCUGGGGGGAUGACGAUGGGGAGAUCAGGAUGGGGAGAUCAGGAUGGGGAGAUGACGAUGGGGAGAUGACGAUGGGGAGAUGACGAUGGGGAGAUGACGAUGGGGAGAUGAGGAUGGGGAGUUGUUAGAAAGGAGACUUCUUUGCAAAAAUGUUGAUGAUCACUGAUCUAAUCCAGAUCAUCUCUGGGCAGAAUUUAAUUCAAAGUUUUCCCCUUCAAAUCGCUAGAUAACUGAGCAGAAUAAAUGGGUCCUCCUGCCUGCUGCAGAUGCCAAGUCGACAAGACCUUUCUUUUCUACUAUUUCUCAAUCCCAGAAAUUAAGUGAAGUGUUCCAAGAAGAUGCUUCGCACUGUGUCCUUGUUCCCACAGCUUCUUUUUGUUUAAAAGUGGGGGAGGGUAUUAAGAUAGUGACCGCAAGUGGAAUUUCGUUCUUGACUUCUUCCCAUCUAUGUGUCGAACUAGUUAAUUUUUCCUUUUCUACCCAAAGGAGAAAUUACCAGUCUUUGCUGCGACUGCCAAGCUAAUUAACUGACUGAUAACCAAACUGGCUUUCUCUUGACGUGUUUUGUUUUUUCUCCUCUCCUAACCAAACUUUUUAAUAAAGUAUAUCUCUAACUG